GAUUCCCCUAGUAACUGCGAGUGAAGCGGGAAAAGCUCAAAUUUAAAAUCUGGCGGUCUUUGGCCGUCCGAGUUGUAGUCUGGAGAAGCGUCUUCCGCGUUGGACCGUGUACAAGUCUCUUGGAACAGAGCGUCAUAGAGGGUGAGAAUCCCGUCUUUGACACGGACUACCAAUGCUUUGUGAUGCGCUCUCAAAGAGUCGCGUUGUUUGGGAAUGCAGCGCAAAAUGGGAGGUGAAUUCCUUCUAAAGCUAAAUAUUGGCGAGAGACCGAUAGCGAACAAGUACCGUGAGGGAAAGAUGAAAAGCACUUUGGAAAGAGAGUUAAACAGUACGUGAAAUUGCUAAAAGGGAAACGCUUGAAGUCAGUCGCGUCGUCCGGAACUCAGCCUUGCUUCGGCUUGGUGCUUUUUCCGGUUGACGGGCCAGCAUCGAUUUUGCCCGCUGGAAAAGGGCUGGAGGAAUGUGGCACCUUCGGGUGUGUUAUAGCCUUCAGUCGCAUACAGCGGUUGGGAUCGAGGAACGCAGCNCGCCUUAUGGCUGGGGUUCGCCCACAUUCGUGCUAGGAUGC
RNAcentral lists this ribosomal RNA (568 nucleotides) under Trametes junipericola. RNAcentral describes it as "eukaryotic LSU rRNA". It matches the Rfam family "Eukaryotic large subunit ribosomal RNA", at positions 73 to 626 of the family's 3401-position model. Lineage: Eukaryota; Fungi; Basidiomycota; Agaricomycetes; Polyporales; Polyporaceae. The record is from RNAcentral.